AGUCACUGACAUUAGAUACCCGCGUAGUCCCAGCCGUAAACAAUGUGCGUUAGGUGUGUCGGUAACCACGUGUUACUGAUGCGCCGAAGAGAAAUCGUGAAACGCACCACCUGGGAAGUACGGUCGCAAGGCUGAAACUUAAAGGAAUUGGCGGGGAGCACCACAAGAGGUGGAGGCUGCGGUUCAAUUGGACUCAACGCCGGAAAACUCAUCGGGAGCGACAGCAGUAUGAUUGCCAGGUUGAUGACCUUGCUUGACAAGCUG
RNAcentral lists this ribosomal RNA (264 nucleotides) under uncultured archaeon. Its description in RNAcentral is "partial 16S ribosomal RNA". It matches the Rfam family "Archaeal small subunit ribosomal RNA", at positions 716 to 982 of the family's 1478-position model. The record is from RNAcentral.